This 566-nucleotide ribosomal RNA is filed under the name uncultured bacterium. Its description in RNAcentral is "bacterial SSU rRNA". It matches the Rfam family "Bacterial small subunit ribosomal RNA", at positions 337 to 920 of the family's 1533-position model. The record is from RNAcentral.
UCCUACGGGAGGCAGCAGUGGGGAAUAUUGCGCAAUGGGGGAAACCCUGACGCAGCCAUGCCGCGUGAGUGAAGAAGGUCUUCGGAUUGUAAAGCUCUUUCAACGGGGAAGAUGAUGACGGUACCCGUAGAAGAAGCCCCGGCUAACUUCGUGCCAGCAGCCGCGGUAAUACGAAGGGGGCAAGCGUUGUUCGGAAUUACUGGGCGUAAAGGGCGUGUAGGCGGUGCGAUCAGUCAGAGGUGAAAGCCCCGGGCUCAACCUGGGAAUUGCCUUUGAUACUGUCACACUAGAGUUCGGGAGAGGGUAGUGGAAUUCCCAGUGUAGAGGUGAAAUUCGUAGAUAUUGGGAAGAACACCGGUGGCGAAGGCGGCUACCUGGACCGAUACUGACGCUGAGGCGCGAAAGCGUGGGGAGCAAACAGGAUUAGAUACCCUGGUAGUCCACGCCGUAAACGAUGUCUGCUAGUCGUUGGGGGGCGCAGCCCUUCAGUGACGCCGCUAACGCAUUAAGCAGACCGCCUGGGGAGUACGGCCGCAAGGUUAACACUCAAAGGAAUUGACGGGGAA